This 497-nucleotide ribosomal RNA is filed under the name uncultured bacterium. Its description in RNAcentral is "partial 16S ribosomal RNA". It matches the Rfam family "Bacterial small subunit ribosomal RNA", at positions 28 to 507 of the family's 1533-position model. The record is from RNAcentral.
GAUGAACGCUGGCGGCGUGCCUAAUACAUGCAAGUCGAGCGAACAGACGAGGAGCCUGCUCCUCUGACGUUAGCGGCGGACGGGUGAGUAACACGUGGAUAACCUACCUAUAAGACUGGGAUAACUUCGGGAAACCGGAGCUAAUACCGGAUAACAUGUUGAACCGCAUGGUUCAACAGUGAAAGACGGUUUUGCUGUCACUUAUAGAUGGAUCCGCGCCGCAUUAGCUAGUUGGUAAGGUAACGGCUUACCAAGGCAACGAUGCGUAGCCGACCUGAGAGGGUGAUCGGCCACACUGGAACUGAGACACGGUCCAGACUCCUACGGGAGGCAGCAGUAGGGAAUCUUCCGCAAUGGGCGAAAGCCUGACGGAGCAACGCCGCGUGAGUGAAGAAGGUCUUCGGAUCGUAAAACUCUGUUAUUAGGGAAGAACAAAUGUGUAAGUAACUAUGCACGUCUUGACGGUACCUAAUCAGAAAGCCACGGCUAACUACGUG